AAUAAGGUCAUUCUCUCUCAAAAUCACCAAGAAAACUUCUUAGGGUUUCAACCCAAAGAUCAAAAUAUCUUAAGAUUUCACCGUGGGUUUUCAAUAAUUCUUCGAGAUUCGGAAUCCCCAUUGCGAGGGCUACAAGAAGCACCCAUCAAUUGUUCGAAUAGCAUUCCUAAAGCACGAGUUCAUUCAAGAGUCACAAAUUAAGGUACGCGGGGUUUUUCUAAAUUCUC
RNAcentral lists this long non-coding RNA (227 nucleotides) under Capsicum annuum. RNAcentral describes it as "long non-coding RNA (CANN_LNC005595)". Lineage: Eukaryota; Viridiplantae; Streptophyta; Magnoliopsida; Solanales; Solanaceae. The record is from RNAcentral.